This 261-nucleotide small RNA is filed under the name Drosophila ananassae. RNAcentral describes it as "GF27395". Lineage: Eukaryota; Metazoa; Arthropoda; Insecta; Diptera; Drosophilidae. The record is from RNAcentral.
CGGACGGCAAGUUGGGCAAGGUCAGCUUGGAUGCAAGGUGCUUGGCGUCUUCGUGAUGAUGCUCCAUUCCCAAGGUCAGGGUUAUAAUCCCCUCGAUUUCUCGGCGAUUUCCCACGCUUUCACGGCACCAUCUUCAGGUGCAUUUCACGGCCAGCGAAGAUGAUGAUCUCACCUGGCCUUAAGCGGCGGAGAUGAUGAUUAUGAGCGGCUUAAUGUUAAUGGUCCAUGUUAAUUGUUAGCCGAAGUGAUCCGGGAAAAAAA